UUCGUUUGCCACAUGGACGCCCCCAAGAUCAGGAAUUGUGGAUGAUUCAGCCCCGAUUGUAUCCCGAGCACCAAGCCCAGAGUCAGGAGUGGAGGAGCUACUCUGCACCGUUUCUUAGAUAAUUCGCGGUACUUAUAGCAUAGAGCAGUGGAGAGGAGGAAAUAAAAUACCCUGAGCCAGGGAUGUGGGGGACGAGCCAGAACCCAGAGGUGCUCCCAGGGAGGAGAUGGUGCUGCCGGCAGCUUCACUGCAGCCACGUGCUCCUCCAGAUACUUGAACCCUCCCUCCGCCAGGCAGGUCCCACCCUUGUCCUCCCUGUGCAGUUUAGGGAGCAGACACCGGCAGAAGCUUAGUCACAGCCCAAAGCUCCCAUCCUAUGCAAACGCGUCUCCAUGAGGAAGAGCAAGGCUCCUGCAGGACGGAGAUCAGAUGGAUCAGCGAUCCCAGACAGAACCUUUUGCCUGAUAUGAGCACCCUUGGGAGAGACCUCUUCACACAAAAGUUCCUUGCAAGGAAAACACUCCUGCCUCACUUUCUUCAACCCAGCCAUGACCUUUCUUGGGACAGGGUCACACCAGGGUUACAGCAUCUGCCUCCCAGCCUCCCAGCUGGCCAGUCCUUCUGCAGUGGCUCAGCCGCAGACCCCUCCUGCACACCACAGCCAAAAACGAUUCUGCGAGGACUACAUCAUCCCGUGAAACUGACGCUUAAUGAUGCAGAACUCCACGUUUCCUGUCCUCAACUUGUCAUCAUUUUCCUUCCCAGAACCCCCAGCACCUCUGACACCGACCUGGAUCUCUACUCCAGAAACUCAAAACCCAUUUUUGCCACACCGUCACACUAG
RNAcentral lists this long non-coding RNA (844 nucleotides) under Pan troglodytes (chimpanzee). RNAcentral describes it as "lncRNA (ENSPTRG00000053612.1)". Lineage: Eukaryota; Metazoa; Chordata; Mammalia; Primates; Hominidae. The record is from RNAcentral.